GAUGAACGCUGGCGGCGUGCCUAAUACAUGCCAGUCGAGCGAACGGACGAGAAGCUUGCUUCUCUGAUGUUAGCGGCGGACGGGUGAGUAACACGUGGAUAACCUACCUAUAAGACUGGGAUAACUUCGGGAAACCGGAGCUAAUACCGGAUGAUAUUUUGAACCGCAUGGUUCAAAAGUGAAAGACGGUCUUGCUGUCACUUAUAGAUGGAUCCGCGCUGCAUUAGCUAGUUGGUAAGGUAACGGCUUACCAAGGCAACGAUGCAUAGCCGACCUGAGAGGGUGAUCGGCCACACUGGAACUGAGACACGGUCCAGACUCCUACGGGAGGCAGCAGUAGGGAAUCUUCCGCAAUGGGCGAAAGCCUGACGGAGCAACGCCGCGUGAGUGAUGAAGGUCUUCGGAUCGUAAAACUCUGUUAUUAGGGAAGAACAUAUGUGUAAGUAACUGUGCACAUCUUGACGGUACCUAAUCUGAAAGCCACGGCUAACUACGUG
RNAcentral lists this ribosomal RNA (497 nucleotides) under uncultured bacterium. RNAcentral's name for it is "partial 16S ribosomal RNA". It matches the Rfam family "Bacterial small subunit ribosomal RNA", at positions 28 to 507 of the family's 1533-position model. The record is from RNAcentral.